UGGGUGUGUAAGUGCAGCGAUGCAUUGAGCUAACCAGUACUAAUGACCCGUGAGGCUUAACCUUACAACACCGAAGGUGUU
Molecule: ribosomal RNA, 81 nt
Filed under: Serratia sp. Leaf50
Lineage: Bacteria; Pseudomonadati; Pseudomonadota; Gammaproteobacteria; Enterobacterales; Yersiniaceae
Description: partial 23S ribosomal RNA
Source: RNAcentral